CCCGAGUAGCACCGGGCCCGUGAAAUCUGGUGUGAAUCUGUCGGGACCACCCGAUAAGCCUGAAUACUCCCUGGUGACCGAUAGCGGACUAGUACCGUGAGGGAAAGGUGAAAAGUACCCCGGGAGGGGAGUGAAAUAGUACCUGAAACCGUGCGCUUACAAUCCGUCAGAGCCUGUGCUGCCUUUUCGGUGGGUGGGUGAUGGCGUGCCUUUUGAAGAAUGAGCCUGCGAGUUAGUGGCAUGUCGCGAGGUUAACCCGUGUGGGGGAGUCGUAGCGAAAGCGAGUCCGAAUAGGGCGCGUGUAGUGGCAUGUUCUAGACCCGAAGCGGAGUGAUCUACCCAUGGCCAGGGUGAAGCGACGGUAAGACGUCGUGGAGGCCCGAACCCACUUAGGUUGAAAACUGAGGGGAUGAGUUGUGGGUAGGGGUGAAAGGCCAAUCAAACUCCGUGAUAGCUGGUUCUCCCCGAAAUGCAUUUAGGUGCAGCGUCACGUGUUUCACUCUGGAGGUAGAGCUACUGGAUGGUCUAGGGGGCCCACAAGCUUACCGAAAUCAGCCAAACUCCGAAUGCCAGGGUGUGAGAGCGUGGCAGUGAGACUGCGGGGGAUAAGCUUCGUAGUCGAGAGGGAAACAGCCCAGAUCGCCGGCUAAGGCCCCUAAGCGUGUACUAAGUGGAAAAGGAUGUGGAGUCGCUGAGACAACCAGGAGGUUGGCUUAGAAGCAGCCACCCUUGAAAGAGUGCGUAAUAGCUCACUGGUCAAGUGAUUCUGCGCCGACAAUGUAGCGGGGCUCAAGUACACCGCCGAAGCCGCGGCACUCCAAC
Molecule: non-coding RNA, 822 nt
Filed under: Rhodococcus rhodnii LMG 5362
Lineage: Bacteria; Bacillati; Actinomycetota; Actinomycetes; Mycobacteriales; Nocardiaceae
Description: Bacterial large subunit ribosomal RNA
Rfam family: Bacterial large subunit ribosomal RNA
Source: Rfam by way of RNAcentral